This 949-nucleotide long non-coding RNA is filed under the name Androctonus crassicauda. Lineage: Eukaryota; Metazoa; Arthropoda; Arachnida; Scorpiones; Buthidae. The record is from RNAcentral.
AAAAUAUUCUAUAAAAAUUGUUAUAUGUAUAUGUAUAUGUAUGUAUAUAUAUAUAUAUAUUGCAUAUAUUCUCAAAUUCAUACACAUACAUACAUACAUAUAUAUAUAUACACACACAUAUACAUAUAUAGUAUAUAUAUACAAAUGUAUGUAUGUGUUUUAUUUUCUCAUCCUUCCCAUUCAGAUUAUUUCGCUGGAGAUUGUGAUCACAUCAUUGCAUUUAACGUUUCAUCAUUUGUUGGGUGGACUUUUGAUACAGGCCACAUUCCAAGGAUAUUCUUACAAAUAAAAUUAUAAUUUUGUUUAUUUUCAUAACAUUCAGCUUGCCUUAAUUGCAAAACAUUUUAUUUAACAAAUUUUGUUUUACCAAAGUUGUUUUAGUUCUUUGAGAAUUGAACAGAGUAUUGUUUUUGUUUUGCAUUGUUCAAGUGGCACAAAUAAUUGUUAAUGAAAUUUAUGAUUUAGUAAGAUUGAAUGGAAAUUUUGAUUAAUUUAAAUAUGUCACUUGCAAUUAGAGAUAGGUUAAUAUUUAAACAGUGGCCACUCAUUAUAUUUGGAGGAUUAAAAUUAUAAAAAUCUCUUCCUCCUCUUCAUUAUUUUCAUUUGUGAUCAGUAAACAGUAUUAAGGUUUUCAGAGAUUAAAAAUAAUUCUUUGUAAGAAACCAAAGUUUGCAAAAAGUUCCUCUGUGAUUUUUAGAUUUUUUUUUUGUUUUUUAGCUUUAUUAUUAUUGGGUAAUUUUUUGUAUAGUUUACAAAGAAUGGGUAUAUGUGGUUUCUAGAAAGUCAAGAAAAAAAUAAAAGCCACAAUGUAAAAUAUUUACAACUGACAUCAUUUUUUAAUUUUUGUUUUUAAAAGAAAAGUUACUAGGAAUUAUAAAGAAAGCAGAUUUAUUAAUAAUAAAUUUAUGUAAAAUUGUAUCUCAAAAAAUUGCUUAUUAAAAAUAUGCUG